GGGUUUCACUUUGCCUGAGAGAAUCCAUCGGUCUCCUCCUCUUCCCCGAGAGCUCUAGCCUCCUUUGGCAUCCUUCUCAACCUUAGGCAUCCUCCGGGUCGACUUCCAUCGUCUUUGCCAUCUUCCUGUACUCCUCGAGCCAACCUAGGUUAGUUCUGAAACUUCUCAUCGUUUUUUUGUUCUUUCUUCUUCAUAUUCCGUUCGUUUAGCUUCCUCAAGAGCUUGUUUGUUGUUUUUCCCGAUUUUUUUUUUCGAAAUUUUUUGUGGCUUCCAUUUGAUCCAAAAUAUCUUUCGAUAUCUCCUCUUCUAGUGGUUCUAGGAGUUCAUCAGCCCCAGUUCCUCAAAGUCCUUGUACCGUAGAUGAAUCCGUAGUUAGGACCGAACCUCGUCUGGUCUUUGCAUCGGACACC
This 410-nucleotide long non-coding RNA is filed under the name Elaeis guineensis (African oil palm). RNAcentral describes it as "long non-coding RNA (EGUI_LNC030944)". The record is from RNAcentral. Lineage: Eukaryota; Viridiplantae; Streptophyta; Magnoliopsida; Arecales; Arecaceae.